This 1824-nucleotide long non-coding RNA is filed under the name Nicotiana benthamiana. RNAcentral's name for it is "long non-coding RNA (NBEN_LNC028883)". The record is from RNAcentral. Lineage: Eukaryota; Viridiplantae; Streptophyta; Magnoliopsida; Solanales; Solanaceae.
UCUCUCUAACCUUUCAUCUCUGAAAUUCUCUCUAGAACCUUCAAUCCUCUCUCUUCUCCGAUGGCUUUCCUUGCCGUUCCAGCCACCUCCAGCCUCACUCCUCUCGACCGCCACUCGCCCUAGUAUUGUAUCUCGUUGCUUCUGUCCCAAACUCGAAGCCCAGAAGCUUCCUCCAUGGAAGACAGUCGAAUGAAGCUCGUUUGAGCCUUUAACUGUCCUUUUUCCUGUGGUUUUCACAUGAUGAUGCUCUAUAUUGUGUUAGUGAUGAGUUUCCCGGCCAGGUUCCGCCUUUCUUUAACUCGUCUGCAAACUCUAAUUUUCUACUCAAAAUCUCUUUAAUUUUUUGCGCUUUUAAAAUGAUUUUCAGUUCGAUUCUUUGUUUUCUACUCUAAUUUUCACUCAAUCUCCGAUUAUCUUAAGUUUCUCCUCUUUUUCAAAGUUAGGGAUUCUGACCCUUUCAUUAAAAUCACUUCUUUUACUUUCUUGGAGUAUUAGGUGUUGGUUAUGUUUAUCCAUGUUACGGGUGUUUGGUUUCCUUGUUAAUUUGAGUUCCAUGCCUUUCUUUUUCUUUCUAGGGUUCAUAACCUUUUUGUUUCCGUGUUUACCCGCUUAGGGUUCUCUCAAAUCCAUGUCUGUUAUGCUUUAUAGGCCUAAGUGUUCAUCGUUUGUGCAAUAUUAUGCUGAUUCUGAACAUCUCUGUGAAUCCUUGAAUGGUCUGUGAUUUUCCUUAGACGAUUCAUUUUUUUUGAAUUAUUUCCUUACUUGGGCAUGCCUUCCUUACAUAGAAAUAAUUCUCUAUGAUUUUUAGGUCUUGUCCAAGAUUCUUUGACUAAUUGGUAGAAUUAGCUCAUAUUUCUCAUUGCUCACUUGUGUUUUGUUUGUCUGCAACUGGUAUGUUAUCUGUUUAGUAUACAACUCCCAAAAAAAUAUGCUUCUGUUAGUUGUGCACUUCAUCUUGUUCCUUGUGUGUUUUUAUCUGUGGUUCUGGUGUUCUUAUUGUCACUAGCAUGCACUUAGUAGCCCAUCUAGUUUAGAUUAGCAUGUUCCCCUUACCCUUUCCCAGUUUCAGUGUAUGUUUACCUUCCUUGUGUAUUACUACCAUGUGUCCAGGGAUACUUAGCUUCUUAAUUAGCCUAAAAACCUCUUCCCUGAGGUUAAGGGUUUGGGGUUUGGUGCAGUAAGAACUGAAACCCCCAGUUUGUUGCAACUAUGUCUGAUUACCUUCCUUCAAUAUGAUGUCUGUGUAUAUGUAGUUCCCUGUACUUAUCUUUUCCCUUCCCUUUGCCCAUGUUUGUGUGGUGUUCUGUUUAAACUAGUUAGUAUCAAUGAUUUCAAAAGAACUGCUUUCAACUCUUUCAAACUAUUUCCUCAAACUAUCUCUCAACUCUUUUUUUAACUGUUCUUUUAAACUGACUCUCAAUUGUUUUAAACUCUCUCAAUCCUAUCACAACUUCACUACUCUUAGAACACUAAGUUCAGCCCCCUUAGUGUAAGCAUUGCCUUGGAAGCCCUUGAGCACCCAUUGAUCUUUGAUGCACAAGGCUGGCACUUCCACACUUGCAUAUGUCUAAUAAUGACACUUUAGGUGCUUGGUAUUGGCUAGGGGGUCAAACGAACCCUUUGGGAAUUUUGCCGCACCCAAGCCUUGGUAAUGGCUGUGAAACUCGAAAGAAGUGAGGUUGGAGAUAUUUUGGCCCAGCCGUGGAGGCUCUCUAUAGAAUAACUUCUUAUUUUUUCUUUUAUCAUUGUUGUAAUUUAAUGUAUCUUGGCGGUAAUAAUAAUUAGGUUAUAAUGAAUAUGGGUGCUUUGCAUGUUUAAUUAAGG